RNAcentral lists this ribosomal RNA (744 nucleotides) under uncultured bacterium. Its description in RNAcentral is "bacterial SSU rRNA". It matches the Rfam family "Bacterial small subunit ribosomal RNA", at positions 8 to 796 of the family's 1533-position model. The record is from RNAcentral.
AGAGUUUGAUCAUGGCUCAGAGCGAACGCUGGCGGCAGGCUUAACACAUGCAAGUCGAGCGGGCGUAGCAAUACGUCAGCGGCAGACGGGUGAGUAACGCGUGGGAACAUACCUUUUGGUUCGGAACAACACAGGGAAACUUGUGCUAAUACCGGAUAAGCCCUUACGGGGAAAGAUUUAUCGCCGAAAGAUUGGCCCGCGUCUGAUUAGCUAGUUGGUGAGAUAACGGCUCACCAAGGCGACGAUCAGUAGCUGGUCUGAGAGGAUGAUCAGCCACAUUGGGACUGAGACACGGCCCAAACUCCUACGGGAGGCAGCAGUGGGGAAUAUUGGACAAUGGGCGCAAGCCUGAUCCAGCCAUGCCGCGUGAGUGAUGAAGGCCCUAGGGUUGUAAAGCUCUUUUGUGCGGGAAGAUAAUGACGGUACCGCAAGAAUAAGCCCCGGCUAACUUCGUGCCAGCAGCCGCGGUAAUACGAAGGGGGCUAGCGUUGCUCGGAAUCACUGGGCGUAAAGGGUGCGUAGGCGGGUCUUUAAGUCAGGGGUGAAAUCCUGGAGCUCAACUCCAGAACUGCCUUUGAUACUGAAGAUCUUGAGUUCGGGAGAGGUGAGUGGAACUGCGAGUGUAGAGGUGAAAUUCGUAGAUAUUCGCAAGAACACCAGUGGCGAAGGCGGCUCACUGGCCCGAUACUGACGCUGAGGCACGAAAGCGUGGGGAGCAAACAGGAUUAGAUACCCUAGUAGUCC